This 300-nucleotide long non-coding RNA is filed under the name Equus caballus (horse). RNAcentral describes it as "lncRNA (ENSECAG00000050272.1)". Lineage: Eukaryota; Metazoa; Chordata; Mammalia; Perissodactyla; Equidae. The record is from RNAcentral.
CCUCUGCCUUCCCACCCCAGGGAAGACAGACCCCACAUCACAGAGCUCAGCCCCUCUGCCAGGAACCCAGGGAGGAUGGUCAUCAUGCUUCACCAACUGCCAUUGAUGUCCAGAAAGAGAGUGAAGUAAAUAGCCCUUUGAUUUGUUGCUUCUCAGCUUCUUCAGAAAGUUGUCCUAAGGCUGUAGCUCAGGUCAAGAAUCCAUCAGAAAGAAAUCAUCUCAGCUGCCCAAGAAUGGUCUCGAGUCCAGCCACAGGGGCGCCAAAGCCAAUACCACUUUGACACAGAUGGGUAACCAGCC